GACGAACGCUGGCGGCGUGCUUAACACAUGCAAGUCGAACGGUGAAGCGCCUUCCUUUUUGGUGGGUGUGGAUGAGUGGCGAACGGGUGAGUAACACGUGAGUAACCUGCCCCCUUCUUCUGGAUAACCGCAUGAAAGUGUGGCUAAUACGGGAUAUUCUGGGUCUGUCGCAUGAUGGGUCUGGGAAAGAUAUUGUUUCGGUGGGGGAUGGGCUCACGGCCUAUCAGCUUGUUGGUGGGGUGGUGGCCUACCAAGGCGGUGACGGGUAGCCGGCCUGAGAGGGUGGACGGUCACACUGGGACUGAGACACGGCCCAGACUCCUACGGGAGGCAGCAGUGGGGAAUAUUGCACAAUGGGCGCAAGCCUGAUGCAGCGACGCCGCGUGAGGGAUGGAGGCCUUCGGGUUGUGAACCUCUUUCGCCAGUGAAGCAGGCCUGCCUCGUUUGUGGGUGGGUUGACGGUAGCUGGAUAAGAAGCGCCGGCUAACUACGUG
RNAcentral lists this ribosomal RNA (494 nucleotides) under uncultured bacterium. Its description in RNAcentral is "partial 16S ribosomal RNA". It matches the Rfam family "Bacterial small subunit ribosomal RNA", at positions 28 to 507 of the family's 1533-position model. The record is from RNAcentral.